AGCCUUCUUAUAACCCAUCUAUUAGCAAGUUCACAGCCUUGGAGUUUAGCUUCCCACGCUCAUUUUGUUCUUUCCUCUCUAUGUGCAGCGAAAUAUUAGGAGAAGAAAGGGCAAGUUUUAGUCACUUGAAAUACUUAGAAUGAGGACAAAUGAUCUCCAUGAAAGAUGUAGAGUUAUGUCUUGAGAGUAAAUUCCAAGUGGAAGUUCCUUGAAAGAAGCUUUAGUUUGUGACAAAACCCUUCCCCAUUGCUGCGACCUAAUGUUGUUAAAAAGAGAGUACAAGGACUAUUUGUGUUAUCUAAUGGUUGGACUAUGACUCUAGCUCCUUGGAAGGUGUUUUAAGAGUGUAAUCAAACGAAGUAGGUAGACGAACAACUUGGAGACAACCAAGUGUACGACGUAUUAAAUAACAAGUUAGCAGCAGGAAAGAGGUGACAGGAAGUGGACUCUUGGGUGGAGACUGCUCCAUAAACCCCAAGUUUAUUGAGAUUCAUUCUCACCCCGCGUUAUGGGGACAUAUUUCAGGUAUCGCAGCAGUUGACGAUCGUUCUCGGGGCAAGAGGUCCGUGGUUGAUGAGUAGAUCUGAGAAUAGAUGUUGCCUGCUUAUUUUGGGAGUCUGUUGUAUGUAUAUGUACACUGCGAUGAUUAAGUUUAUGUAGGUUGAUGUAGGAUGUUGUAGUUAUGACACAUAGCCACCUUUUAAUGUGAUAUAUAUAGAGUUAUGGA
Long non-coding RNA from Gastrolobium bilobum, 727 nucleotides. RefSeq lists it as uncharacterized. The record is from RefSeq and is a predicted model, not a curated record. Lineage: Eukaryota; Viridiplantae; Streptophyta; Magnoliopsida; Fabales; Fabaceae. The transcript has 3 exons.